ACCGUACCGUUUUCAAUAUUUAUUCGCAGCCGCCGACCGUACUUUAAAGACACUUCUUCCACAUAAAAUAGAACAUAAUUUUCCUAAAAACAUAUUUUGUAAAAUGGCUCAUCUUGAUUAAGCAAUCUAUUUAUAAAGAUGCUCUCAAUACAGCCGCAAUCCGAGAUAACUUUAUCUGUAGUCAUUGCUGUCGCAAGAUUCAUUAUUUUAAAAUCUUUUUAAAAAACAAACUUUCCAUCCGUCCAACUUUAGAUUGUCUAAACAUCGCAAGCGAACCACAUAUAGAUGAAUUUUACCCUCCCCCUAAGCGUUAUGCUGGCUAUAUUGAUUGGCCUCUCGGGCAUCGCAAGAGCCGACUUGAAUAGAGAUAAUGUUCGUAGGCUUCAGGAAUUGCUUCAAGUUCUGCCAGGUACUUAUCCGGAUAUGCAAAUGCAGAUGGCCAAGCUGAUUUGUCAAUACCAAAAGGGCAAUUUAGAUAUCGAUGAAAUUAAUGGAUACAUCCUCCGACUGCGAGAACUGCUCCUAGUUCACCCAGGUACUGAUCCGGACACCCAGAUGCAGAUUGUAAGCCAAACUUACAAGAUGUGCAGGGGUCAGGGAUCAGUACGCGAUGUGGAUGGUAGGUGCCUUAUCGGUCUAUCUGAUUUGAUAACCCAGGCAAGGAAUAUAAACUGGAUAGAGAAGUAUAUAAGAGAACAUUAAAAGGGCAAGUGUUGUUGGUUUAAAUAAAUAGAAGCAAACACAAAUAAAAGAUAAGCAAUUGUAUAUUUCGAUAAGCACAUUGACUUAUUUCAGCCGAAAAAAAAACGGGUUCGAACACAAAAACUACAA
Drosophila gunungcola (fruit fly) is the source of this 831-nucleotide long non-coding RNA. RefSeq lists it as uncharacterized. Lineage: Eukaryota; Metazoa; Arthropoda; Insecta; Diptera; Drosophilidae. The record is from RefSeq and is a predicted model, not a curated record. The transcript has 2 exons.